UUUUAUUUGAGAGUUUGAUCCUGGCUCAGGAUGAACGCUGGCGGCGUGCCUAACACAUGCAAGUUGAGCGAUUUACUUCGGUAAAGAGCGGCGGACGGGUGAGUAACGCGUGGGUAACCUACCCUGUACACACGGAUAACAUACCGAAAGGUAUGCUAAUACGGGAUAAUAUAUUUGAGAGGCAUCUCUUAAAUAUCAAAGGUGAGCCAGUACAGGAUGGACCCGCGUCUGAUUAGCUAGUUGGUAAGGUAACGGCUUACCAAGGCGACGAUCAGUAGCCGACCUGAGAGGGUGAUCGGCCACAUUGGAACUGAGACACGGUCCAAACUCCUACGGGAGGCAGCAGUGGGGAAUAUUGCACAAUGGGCGAAAGCCUGAUGCAGCAACGCCGCG
This 393-nucleotide ribosomal RNA is filed under the name Clostridioides difficile. RNAcentral describes it as "bacterial SSU rRNA". It matches the Rfam family "Bacterial small subunit ribosomal RNA", at positions 1 to 401 of the family's 1533-position model. The record is from RNAcentral. Lineage: Bacteria; Bacillati; Bacillota; Clostridia; Peptostreptococcales; Peptostreptococcaceae.